AGGAGCCGUGUGAGAUGAAAGUCUCAUGCACGGUUUUGAAUGAGAGAAUGAAGUGAGGAAUCCUCUUUUUGACUCUGAC
Capsicum annuum is the source of this 79-nucleotide non-coding RNA. Lineage: Eukaryota; Viridiplantae; Streptophyta; Magnoliopsida; Solanales; Solanaceae. The record is from Rfam.